RNAcentral lists this ribosomal RNA (1091 nucleotides) under Cellulosimicrobium cellulans. RNAcentral's name for it is "bacterial SSU rRNA". It matches the Rfam family "Bacterial small subunit ribosomal RNA", at positions 58 to 1166 of the family's 1533-position model. The record is from RNAcentral. Lineage: Bacteria; Bacillati; Actinomycetota; Actinomycetes; Micrococcales; Promicromonosporaceae.
CAAGUCGAACGAUGAUGCCCAGCUUGCUGGGUGGAUUAGUGGCGAACGGGUGAGUAACACGUGAGUAACCUGCCCUUGACUUCGGGAUAACUCCGGGAAACCGGGGCUAAUACCGGAUAUGAGCCGUCCUCGCAUGGGGGUGGUUGGAAAGUUUUUCGGUCAGGGAUGGGCUCGCGGCCUAUCAGCUUGUUGGUGGGGUGAUGGCCUACCAAGGCGACGACGGGUAGCCGGCCUGAGAGGGCGACCGGCCACGCUGGGACUGAGACACGGCCCAUACUCCUACGGGAGGCAGCAGUGGGGAAUAUUGCACAAUGGGCGAAAGCCUGAUGCAGCGACGCCGCGUGAGGGAUGAAGGCCUUCGGGUUGUAAACCUCUUUCAGCAGGGAAGAAGCGCAAGUGACGGUACCUGCAGAAGAAGCGCCGGCUAACUACGUGCCAGCAGCCGCGGUAAUACGUAGGGCGCAAGCGUUGUCCGGAAUUAUUGGGCGUAAAGAGCUCGUAGGCGGUUUGUCGCGUCUGGUGUGAAAACUCGAGGCUCAACUUCGAGCUUGCAUCGGGUACGGGCAGACUAGAGUGCGGUAGGGGAGACUGGAAUUCCUGGUGUAGCGGUGGAAUGCGCAGAUAUCAGGAGGAACACCGAUGGCGAAGGCAGGUCUCUGGGCCGCAACUGACGCUGAGGAGCGAAAGCAUGGAGAGCGAACAGGAUUAGAUACCCUGGUAGUCCAUGCCGUAAACGUUGGGCACUAUGUGUGGGGCUCACUCCACGAGUUCCGUGCCGCAGCAAACGCAUUAUGUGCCCCGCCUGGAGAGUACGGCCGCAAGGCUAAAUCUCAGAAGAAUUGACGGGGGCCCGCACAAGCGGCAGAGCAUGCGGAUUAUUUCUGAUGCACGCGAAGAUCUUACCGAGGCUUGACAUGCACGAGACGCCACCAGAGAUGGUGGUCUCUUUCGACACUCGUGCACUGUGCUGCAUGGAUCGUCAUCAGCUCGUGUCGUGAGAUGUGGGAUAGUCCCGCAACGAGCGCACCCCUCGUCCAUGUUGCCAGCGGAUUAUUGCGGGUCUCAUGGAAGACUGGCGGGGUUCAACUCAG